CACCUCUAGCAUUUCUAGUAUUAGAGGCACUGCCUGCCCAGUGACAACUGUUAAACGGCCGCGGUAUCCUGACCGUGCAAAGGUAGCAUAAUCAUUUGUUCCUUAAAUAGGGACUUGUAUGAAUGGCCACACGAGGGUUUAACUGUCUCUUACUUCCAAUCAGUGAAAUUGACCUCUCCGUGAAGAGGCGGAAAUAAAUGAAUAAGACGAGAAGACCCUAUGGAGCUUUAAUUUACUUAAUUCAACAGGAAUUGAUUCAUUACCCACCAGGAAUAAUAAACACCCUGUAUGAAUUAAAAAUUUUGGUUGGGGUGACCUCGGAGUACAAACAAACCUCCGAGAUAUUUAUACCAAGACCCACAAGUCAAAGUAACUAAUUCAACUGAUCCAGUCUAACUGAUCAACGGAACAAGUUACCCUAGGGAUAACAGCGCAAUCCUAUUCAAGAGUCCAUAUCGACAAUAGGGUUUACGACCUCGAUGUUGGAUCAGGACAUCCCAAUGGUGCAGCAGCUAUUAAUGGUUCGUUUGU
RNAcentral lists this ribosomal RNA (531 nucleotides) under Pseudosoriculus fumidus (Taiwan brown-toothed shrew). Its description in RNAcentral is "partial 16S ribosomal RNA". It matches the Rfam family "Bacterial large subunit ribosomal RNA", at positions 1816 to 2580 of the family's 2925-position model. The record is from RNAcentral. Lineage: Eukaryota; Metazoa; Chordata; Mammalia; Eulipotyphla; Soricidae.